Long non-coding RNA from Talpa occidentalis (Iberian mole), 1396 nucleotides. RefSeq lists it as uncharacterized. The transcript is spliced from 3 exons. The record is from RefSeq and is a predicted model, not a curated record. NCBI's taxonomy places the organism in Eukaryota, Metazoa, Chordata, Mammalia, Eulipotyphla, Talpidae.
GUGAGGGCCGUGCGGCCGGGAGUUGGCAGCCCUCUGUGGUGUGUUCCAGGGCUGAACAGACAGACUGUGCGAGGCUUGUGGCUGAUUGUUUACUAAACACGAGAGGCCCCGGUGUGACCUGGGAGUCCUGCUCUAGCUAGACUCACCCGGAGACAUCAGAUGCCUGGCAUUUGCGCUCAGCAGUAUGACAGAGGCCUCCUGUUGAAUCGCAUCUGGAACCCUUGCACCAGCCAGGAGGAGGAACCACCUCUCAAGGAGAAGAAGUAAAAACAAUCUUAUCAGAGAACUUUGAAGACAGAAUAAAAGGUUAUGCAAUACUAUCAGACCGUGGAAGACAGACCACUGAUGGGCAGAGUCCUGAGAAUCAGGGGAGCUGCCAGGAGGACAAGGAAUCUCCUGCAUUGUGUCCGGCAGAGGAAUGAAAGCUUGCUCAGACCUGAAAAAGUUGCUCAGGCCAAACAGAAGUGAGGAGUGAAGAGAUAGAGGCAGUCUGGGCUCCUCCAGAGCAGCUAGCAACUGUUGGAAUAUUUGUCAACACAUUUUCAGACUAAGAAGUGGGCCUCAGGAAUAAGAUUGUCCCAAACACAGUGAUUCUCAAAAGGGGAUGAUUUUAACCUUCCUCACUGGCCCCACCAGGGGACACUGGGCAAUGUCUGGAGACAUGUGGUUUAUACAGUGGGGGUUGUGGGGCAGGAUGCUGCUGUCCAUCCUGCAGCCCAGGACUCCUCACCACAGAGAAUUAUCUGGGCCCAAGUGUGAAGAAGGUCAAGGUUAAGAAAAAGCAUGGUCUAAACUACUUGGUCUGACAUCUUGAAUGUAUAUAUAAAUUAUUUAUAAAUUCUGUCAUAUGUAAAAAUGUUUAUAAAAUACUUAUCAUAUGUGUGUAUGUACAUCUGUAUGUAAAUAUACAUAAAUGUAUACCUGGAUACAUAUAUAAUCUUGGGGUUUUAGUAAAUCCUGUUUAUCGUAUGAACUCACUGCUCUGGAGUUAAGGCAGGUCUUGUAAAGCAAUAUUUUUCUUGAGUAAGUUAAAGCUGUUUUCCUUAGUGAGAAGGAAGAAAAUUGUGAAUUUUCAGGAAGGACUGUAGCAAUGCGGUCGGCAGGCCUAGCUACAUGUGAGCUCCAACACCUCUCCAGGUCUCCCUUUGCUUACCCAUAAAACAUGACCAAAAAAUCACAUGAACUUCAUCAUUCCCAAGAGUACUGAACAAUAUAAAACAUUUAUCUGAAUAAUAAUAGAUAUAAUAAACUGUGUGCAUAAUUAACCCUACAUAAAUAUUUGCUAUUUUGGUGCAUGUGGUAUCGUUGUACCUGAAUUAUUAGAGGGAAAGAAAUACAUAUUAACUUGAAGUGACUCAUAAAAAUGAUGUGUUAACAUGGGAAAUUUGGGGUCCUU